Molecule: non-coding RNA, 5133 nt
Organism: Xyrichtys novacula (pearly razorfish)
Lineage: Eukaryota; Metazoa; Chordata; Actinopteri; Labriformes; Labridae
Source: the annotation of a GenBank genome assembly
UGUGUUUGUCAGUCAGUGAGUGUCUUUCAUAGUCAUUGUUGUAUCCCUAGUCUCCUUGUGUUUUUGAAGUAAGUUUUUGUUGUUUUUUUCAUUUAGUUCUUUUUAAAUGAAUCCUUUUUUGUCGGCACUUGGGUCCUUUUUUGUUUAGCUUGUGACAAGGAGCAUGUAAAGGAGGAACAGUGCAGGUCCUAGUAUGGUGCCUUGAGGUACUCCACAGGUGAUGGAGGUAGACACAGAGAAUUCAUGACUAGAUUGGAGGGAAAAAGAUCUGGCCUACAGGCGGGAUUUCAACUUCCUCACAGAUGCCUUGCUGCCAGUCGAGUCAGUCGUGCCUCUGAUCGGUCAAUCUAGUAAAUUUAAGAACUUUUACACAAAUGAAUAACAAAAAGGAGGCUGAGGGAACCCUGAGUAAUCCAGACCGAACCCUGUACACGUGUUUAUUUUUCCUCUAAAAAUUGUCUCUUUUCGCUUCUCUUGAACAUGGUUUCUGGUGCUCCCACAGACAGCCCCAAGUGGACAUUUGUGGAACUGCAGUUUUCAGCACUUGGGCAUUAGCCUCAUUUCUCAAGACAGGGGGUUUCUGCUUGGGGUGGAUAUGCGAGUGUGUUAUCUGUGAAAAUUAAGUGAGUGAAUACUUUUAUUUUCAUUUGGUUUUAACACAAAAAAACAAUAAUACAGGUUAUAUUUAUCUUUGCGACAGAGCUGAAACUUUCCAUGAAUUAUACUGACAAAUAAAGUCAGGUGUACCUUAGUGAUACCUCUAAACCUAUUCGAAAGAAGCAGGUGUAUUAAAGCGAAGUCAGGAGAGGAUAUUUUGAAGCUCAGCACAGCCGAGGUUUGGAAUAAAAUCUUCAUUUAUUUCAAAUUUAAGGUCCUGCAAACCUAUUUUCUGGGUCGGCCUCUCACUAUGACUGAUGGGCUUUUGCAUGAGCAAAGAUUUGUCUCUUAAACUCCACAUGCACACUCCACUUUCCAUAGACCCUCCAGUUAGAUCUUACAAAAACAGAAACUUGAUGGAAAUUGUAGGUGCUGCAGAGGGAAAAUGUUUUAUGUUCCAAAAACUUAUAUUAGAAAUUCAUGAAUUAGGUUUCAGUGUGAUGUGGUGUGUUCUCAGCUGGGACCUGACUGGAUAAAAAGAAAUCUAGAGGAACGAACUGUGAGUGUUUUGAGCGCUGCGAGGCAACACUGAAGACAGGAAGAUGCAUACACUUGAGAUAGAACUUUAUAAAUAGAGUUGGAUAAGGAAGAAACCUAAAUAAAAGUUAAAUGUGAGCUGAGAACACAACAAACUAAGAUAGACGAGGAUAUCUGCAGUGGAACAGGAUGUGCGGUUGUAUGUCUCGCUAUGAAUAGCCUUUUCCUUUCAGAUGAAUGAUGAUCUGCAGAGAGGGAACUGAAUCAUUGUAAUGAGUUUAUUUGUGAAUGUGACUCCAAAAAGAAUUAUAUAAUGCACAGGAAAGUAAUUAUCCCUGGGGCAGUAGGUUAUCUAAUACAAAGAUUCAGCGCGAGAGCAAUUUUCCAAAUUGGGCAGUGAUCCCCUAAAGUGUCUGCAAAAUAUGAGAGAUAAGAGGUGGUUUUAUAUCUGCACAGCAUGAUGUUUUCUGCAGGAGAAUUUCUGCUAAUUACACCUGAAAAUGCUGUACGGUGCCAGUGUUUCCCAUGACACACACUGCCAAAACAAACCUCUUAAAAUAGAUUUAUUGAUCCUAAAUAUCAGUCUUUUAGAGGAUUUUUUGGUGCACAAUUGCAGUCAAGGCACCAUAUCUAACAUAAAACAUAAAAAUAUAAAGGUAUGAUACAAAAACUUGACAUUAAUAUAGUUUUUAAAACAGAAUUAGAUGAUUUGCACACAGUUAAAUACCUGUAUUUAAUUGAAAAUACUGCAUAGACAACUUGUUCAGUGCAGGAGCUGAAAAUUGUAUUAAAAAGAAAACACAUCCCUGUUUCGAUUUGGUUCUGCAGUUUUGAAAAUGAAAUGUUGCCCUAUUCCUACCUAAUACAAGAUUUAAUCUGCCCAACAGUCUGAGGUCCACUAUUAUACCGAUAAUAUUAUGCACCGCUUAAAUAUUUGUCUGUUUAAAGAAAGCAGAAUGACGUUUUUUAUCUGGAAACUCAAACAUACAUGACAAAAUUAGCAAAUACAUGACUCACCAGUAUGUCCACAGGGGGCGCCAAAUUCAACACCAACUCCCACAGAAGUUUUGACUUUAUUGAUGGAAGACUUGUGUGUCAAAUUAAGCUUAAAUUGGUCAAAAGUAGAGUUAUUAUCUGGAGAGAAACCACAGGGGUAUUUUAAGUUCUUUUCAUCCUAUUAUCUUGUUUUCGAGCAAAGUUUUGCUUUUGUUUCUCAGUAAAGAAGUAAUAUUGAAAAGUAACAUUUUACCUUUUUGUGAUAAAGAUGUCUCAAACUUAGCCAGAAAUACUUAGAUCACGAUAUCGAGCUUCUGUUGUAUAAUAUUUUCCAGAUUUAAGGCACUUACUCUUUCCAAACACAAUGAAAAUGUUGUUUUUAGGCGAUUCCUGACAACAUAUGUCUUGAGUUUAAUUAAAAUGCUUAGAUUAUGCAUAUUUGACCAUCUGGAUGAUGUUUUUUGUAUCAUUAUAAACCAUUUUCCUCCAGCCCCUCAUCCUCUUUAUACUAAUUUGAGUGUAUUUCAGUCUGUUUCAGCUCUAUACUGGUGAUAAUCUCUGGAUAUAAAACAUCGACUUCUCAAAAGGGUGUAAAAUGAAAACAGCCUCGGGUAAAGCCAGCACUUGUUUUCUUUUUCUCUCUCCACAAAACUCAAACAAGGUUAUCUUUUUACCUAAGUGGACUUUUUCACAGCAGAGUUAUUAUUUUUUCCUCGAAUGCACGGUGAAGUCUCUAUAAUAACAUGUAUGCAACGCUGGAACUCCAUUAAAAUCAACACAAAUGAAGCAUGGCAGCAGACCUGACCCUCUGUUCCUCUCCAGGAAAAAACCCAGCUGCUCUCAGCGUCAGAAGAAAUCCUCCUCAAACAUCCCGACUUUGUGCACAACAGAUUCCAUUUAAAUGAUUUAUGUGCGGCACAGUCACUGCUUUGAUAAAGUUAUGUCCUAAUCUUAAAGCAACAACAUUUCACCAAGGUUUCUGAGGGAUGAAAUGAUUCAAAAGAUAUUUUUUCUCUCUGCUUUGAAGGUUUUUCUCUCUUUAUUUUCAAUUCACAAUGUGGACUGAAGCAACACCGACCUCAAACCGUCACUUCUUUAUGUGAUAAACAAAAAGCUCCACCUCUGCAACACUGUUUUAGCUGCAAACAGGGGGUUUAGUGUUUCACUUUACGUCUAACAACACUGAUUAAAUUAUUUAUUGUGCUUACUUAACCAUUCUGUUUAAAGUAGUUUGAACUGAGAUUGAAACUGCAUGACGCUGCUUUAGUUUUAUAAAGAUGUGUAAACGCUCAGAUAUAUUCUCACCCGCUGGGAUGCAUUUAUUUAUUCUUCAGUAGCUUAUAAAAGUCCCUCUGAGAGCAAGUUUACUGACUUGUGUCUAAUAAAAAGAGAUACAACUGCAAGUUACUGCAGAAAUAUAAAACAAAUCUUGUUUGUUUUGAUACCAGUAUAUAUUUAUCAUGUUUCACAUUUGUUUGGCCCACUUAAGUCCUCUUAAAGUUGGAUUUACCUGGGUUAUUUUUUUGGUUAUAAUGGCAUUUGAGUUAGAAGUAAAAAGGGAAAAAACUGCAUUUACUGCUGAGCGGGGUCACUACCUAUAACACCAACAUCAGUAACGACUACUACUGCUAUAUUUCUAACAAGAUCCGGUGAGUUGGCAAGCCAGUUAAGUACACAAAUAUCAGGGUCAGCAUAACUGAAGUUUUGGCGUCGUAGGCAGGUGUUGGAAAAGGAAAUCAGCACUUCUACAAGGUUUGUCAGCAGAUACAGGUAUAAAAAAACACAGCAGACCAACACCAGCAAAUGACAUGACACCCCAUAUUCUUGCAGUCUACCAACCCCUGAUACUGAUGUUUCUACUUUAGCUCCGGUAAGACUCUGUCUGUGGUUCAGUGGUGUCUUGAUAUUAAAAAAUGCACAGUUGGAUUCCCUUCUCUGAAGAUGUCCCUGUGUGGUGACUCUUGAUGAAAUGCCAGCCUCAGUCCACCCCUUGUGGCGCUCUCCAUGGUUCUCCAAUCAACUUUUCUUGGCAAACUCAAGGCUGUGGUCAUGCCUGUUGUUUGUGUACCCUUUUCCAACCACACUUUCCCUUCCAGUCAAAUUUAAUUAACUUGAUUUGAAUCUGCACUCUCUGAAAGGCCAACCUCCUUAGAAAUGGCUUAUCUUCUGUAACUUGGGUGUUGAUGUACAUUUUCUGGGCAACUAUCAACAGCAGAGCUACCAAGCGUCACGCUUUGAGUGUGACAGCCACGCAAUUUGACCCAUUCUCACGCCACACGCCAAACUUGACAUUUCUCACGCUUAUUUUUCCCCGUUCAAUACUCUGUAUUUGUUUUUUUCACGAUAAUAAACUUGGCUUGCCGUAGUUCGAGUAACUCUGAUUGACUGACCGAGAUAGCAAAUCCCAGACCAAUUCAUCAGUCCUUUGUGCCUAAUGCUGCGUUCGAGUUUCCUCGGAAGUCAGAUGUCGGAGCUGAAAAUGACGUCACACCCGAGUUCCCAGCGUUUCAGUUACAAAGUUUGAAAAAAAGCAGAAUUGUAGGCCUGAAACAAGAUGGCUACGUCUACAAAAGUUAUUUUAGCUCUUGCCUUGUAUUCGGACAAGGCAAGCGCUAAAAUAAUUUUCGUAGACGCGGCCAUCUUGUUAGAUGAUGGGCAGGAAAUUUCUUAGUUUUAUUUUUUUUUUAUCAAGGUCAAUGAUGUGUCAAUAAUUAACAACAACAUUAAUUUUGAUUUAUUAUUGUGUUUGAUAUAUCGUCCGAUUUCUAAAAAGUUACGUUUAGGUCCUUAGAUGACAAAAAUGUCCAUCUCAUAAAAGUGCUAUAAAAAUAUGAUACAUUAAUAUUUCUUUGAACUUCUUUUUGCUUAAAUCUUUUCAUUAACUUCAUGAAUAGUGUUUUUGUCUUACAGUGAAGAUUUCGAAAAAAAAUAUUAACGUCCAAAAUAAUCGCACGACAAAACCGAUCCCGGUGUGAAAGGACCUUUACUGUAACUACAUGUCAA